GCCUUCCUAGCUCAGUGGUAGAGCGCGUCACUAGUAAUGACGAGGUCGUCAGUAUGUUGUGUCCGUAUACAGAUUGCAUCAAAGGCACAACAGCUUAUCCGAAUUAGGUUCAAUUCCGGCGGAAGGCA
Molecule: non-coding RNA, 128 nt
Organism: Alternaria novae-zelandiae
Lineage: Eukaryota; Fungi; Ascomycota; Dothideomycetes; Pleosporales; Pleosporaceae
Source: the annotation of a RefSeq genome assembly